GACGAACGUUGGCGGCGUGCUUAAUACAUGCAAGUCAACUGAAGCACCGGUAGUAAUACUGGUGUGGAGGUGGCGCACGGGUGAGUAACACGUAGGUAAUCUGCCUUCAGGUCUGACAUAACCCCGAGAAAUCGGGGCUAAUAGCAGAUGAUGCAGCGGCUUGACAUCAAGACAGUUGUUAAAGCUUCGGCGCCUGAAGAUGAGCCUGCGUCUGAUUAGCUAGUUGGCGGAGUAAUAGCCCACCAAGGCGACGAUCAGUAGCUGGUCUGAGAGGAUGAUCAGCCACACUGGAACUGAGACACGGUCCAGACUCCUACGGGAGGCAGCAGUAAGGAAUAUUGCUCAAUGGGAGAAAUCCUGAAGCAGCAACGCCGCGUGAGGGAUGAAGGGCUUUUGCUCGUAAACCUCUGUAGUGAGGGAAAAAAUUUCCAUUCUAUGGAAUAUGAUGGUACCU
Molecule: ribosomal RNA, 454 nt
Filed under: uncultured bacterium
Lineage: Bacteria
Description: bacterial SSU rRNA
Rfam family: Bacterial small subunit ribosomal RNA
Source: RNAcentral